Molecule: long non-coding RNA, 754 nt
Filed under: Linum usitatissimum (flax)
Lineage: Eukaryota; Viridiplantae; Streptophyta; Magnoliopsida; Malpighiales; Linaceae
Description: long non-coding RNA (LUSI_LNC003009)
Source: RNAcentral
UGGCAAUGAUCAUGUCUUCCUGAUGCUUGUCGCAAACGAAGAACAAUGGAGGUUUGGCAUGUAUCUAACAACAUUGGCACUAGCCUAGGCUUUUUUCACGCAGAGCUCCAUCCUCAGUGGCAUGGAAGGUUUCAUUAUGGCUUCUUUUAUAAACUCUGCCAAACUGUUGUGAUGCGAGCACGGAUUGUUGUGAUUGGCCUCGUAUCAGAUGUGAUGCUCGUGGCCUUGGUCUUGUUGUUGGACUCGACUUGAGCGGGGAAGACAUGCCGGGAGAUAUAUCGAAGAACUGGAUUUAUCUUAGUAUUCAAUUGAAGUUGCAGAACUUAAAUGCUCGACCAUCGGCCACCGUCGUCAUGCCCAAACCCCGAUGAGGCUAAAAAUAUCUAAAAGAAUUAAAAGAUUGGGCUAAAAAUAUGUAAAAGAAUAAAAGAUUUCCACCGACCCAUGGGGAGCAGCAACGACUGGUAAUAUGGUGUCGUGCGCUUACUGGCUCUUUCAUCAUCAAACGAAUAGCCAUGAACUACGUGUAAAGCUUUACUGUGAUACUCAUCUUAUAGAUAGCAGACGCCUGUCCCUCAAAAUCUCAAAAGCUCUUGAAUUGCUGGGGCUCAAGAUUUGGAGGAAAUCAAAGUUCAGAGAAACAAAAAAAAAUGGAAGGCUGUGCAAUGGGAACUCCUGAUAUCUACCAGGACGACUGUGCAAUGGGAACUCCUGAUAACUACCCAACCGACGACGUACUACAAGAUCGCGGCCG